GACGAACGCUGGCGGCGUGCUUAACACAUGCAAGUCGAACGGAAAGGCCCUGCUUUUGUUGGUUGCUCGAGUGGCGAACGCGUGAGUAACACGUGAGUAACCUGCCCUUGACUUUGGGAUAACUUCAGGAAACUGGGGCUAAUACCGGAUAGGAUCUCUUGCUGCAUGGUGGUGGUUGGAAAGUUUCGGCUGUUGGGGAUGGACUCGCUGCUUAUCCGCUUGUUGGGGGGGUAGUGGCUUACCAAGGGUUUGAAGGGUAGGCGGCCUGAGAGGGUGAACGGCCACCUUGGGACUGAGAUACGGCCCAGACUCGUACGGGAGGCAGCAGUGGGGAAUAUUGCACAAUGGGGGGAAGCCAGAGGCAGAGACCCCGCGUGCGGAAUGACGGGCUUCGGGUUGUAAACAGCUUUCGCCUGUGACGAAGAGUGCGUGACGGUAAUGGGUAAAGAAGCACCGGCUAACUACGUG
RNAcentral lists this ribosomal RNA (468 nucleotides) under uncultured bacterium. RNAcentral's name for it is "partial 16S ribosomal RNA". It matches the Rfam family "Bacterial small subunit ribosomal RNA", at positions 28 to 507 of the family's 1533-position model. The record is from RNAcentral.